CUCAUUUCAGAAUUGCCUCAUUUUAUCAACCAACUAUCAGAUCAAAGCACAGGCCAUUAAAUUUGAGUCCACCAAACACAAUCCAAUUUCUUAUACAUCUCAGAUUCAAACCUAAUAACAUAUACUAUCUCAGAUUUAAUUAAUAACAGAUACAAUCAGAAUACAACAAAGUUCAAACAAUAGUUCAUCUCUUCUGGUGACUGCUUCCAAGAGUAGCAACCUGUAAAUGUACGAACACCAUGCGGACUCAUUGCGUCAUGCUGACUCAUAGACAAGCAUCCUGCAACGUGAGAAGAAUAAUGUAAUAAAUUCACAGGAAGUACAGUUCGAUACAUGUAAAGUGACUUCUAUGAACAUGGCCUGUAUAGAUUAUAUUUACACAUUUUUACAGUAUAUGAUUUUGUUUGCUUAAGAAAGCAGACAACCUGUAACUCCUAGUUCAGUUAGCUGGUGGUAGUGUACAUUCCAAAAAACUAAGAUUACAGUAGCAUGCCUCAAUGCAGUAGCCUAAGAUUACAUGGACAAAUGUUGCUAAAAAGCUUUUUAACUGCAACAUCAAUUCCAUUUAUAAGAUGACCAUGAUAAACGACCCCAUAAGCAUCCUCUCCUAUGAUAUUAUCAUCACAGAACCCAGUUGUUGCGUGCUCCAAAUCCCUGAGAGUAAACCAAUGUCCCCAACCAAGAUGAGAAAUAAACAAACCUUUAGAUUUUACAUAUUAUAGCUCUCAAAAUCCUGACAAAAAAUACAUAUGAAAAAUAAACAAACCUUUAGAUUUUAAAGAAUGUUGUGGCUCUUUAUAAAAGAACAUAUAGCAAAGCAUACCCAUCAGUUAUAUGAAAUGUUGGAUUGGAGCAUUAGUAAGUGGAAGAAUAUUGGAGCAUUAUGUACUUACUUUUUUUUUUAUUUUGACUCAGCAUAUGUAGAGCUUAAUAUGAGUUUUUCUAAUCAAAAUGAAAUUAUUUGCCUAUCACUAUCAGAUUAACUAUCUAUCUAUACCUCCAUAACUAUACAAAUUAGUCUCACCAUUGAUUUCGUAGGGUAAUAAUCAUUGAUAAAUAAAGCACAAUUUUAAAUUUUGCUAUCAAGAUUACACUGUACACAUAAUAUUUUCUUGGAUGGUAAGAUAAAGGCAACCGCAUAUGAACACAUUCAGGUAAUAUAUUAAUACAAAUUUUGGUAGCAACUAUUCUUUGGUGUUAAUACAUUUAAUAUUAUUUUGUUGUUAACUCUCAUGUAAAUCAUAGAUUGUAUAAUCCUUUAAGAUCUUCCGAAAUCAUCUACGAUAGAUGUACAACUUUAAUGUGCUAUCUGGCAAACUAAAUAUAUAGGCAGUAACCAAACAUGCCAGUGCAAUAUAUAGAUCCAUUCGUCAUCGGAUGAUAGGAUAUCAUAUCUUAUAUAGUGCAGGAGCAAGAGAUCAGGUAAAAGAAAGCAGAAGUAGAGGUAGCUGCAAACGAACGUACAUGCGUACACAUGGCGAUCGUGUUCUUCGACGUGGAGACGACGACGGCGUCUCGGUCGGAUCAUCAUCAGCGCCUGCUCGAGUUCGGCGCCAUCUCGUGGUGUGCCCCAGCAAGCUGGUGGAGGUGGACAACUACCACACGCUCAUCCGGCCGGCCGACCUCUCCGCCGUCUUCAAGCGCUUCACCGCGGCCGCCCGNN
RNAcentral lists this long non-coding RNA (1663 nucleotides) under Oryza brachyantha (malo sina). RNAcentral's name for it is "long non-coding RNA (OBRA_LNC001707)". The record is from RNAcentral. Lineage: Eukaryota; Viridiplantae; Streptophyta; Magnoliopsida; Poales; Poaceae.